UGCAUUGCGAGUUUAACUCUCAUAAAAGGAACGGAGGAGAGGUUUGAUUAAAUGAAAUUUUGGUGUCAAAAUAUAAUCAAUUUAAUUAUUUAGGAUCUAUCAUAUAGAAGAAUGGAGUAAUAGAUCAGGAUGUAACACAUAUGAUCAGAAUAAGAUAGAUGAAAUGGACGAGUGCGAUGGGCAUGCUCUAUGAUUUUACAAUCCUUGAUAAAGUGAGAAGUAUGUUCUAUAGAAUUAUGAUUAGACCAGUUAUGUUGCAUGCAAAUGAAUGUUGGACAUGUAAGUAGUGCACCCACAAAAGUA
This 303-nucleotide unclassified non-coding RNA is filed under the name Hevea brasiliensis (rubber tree). Lineage: Eukaryota; Viridiplantae; Streptophyta; Magnoliopsida; Malpighiales; Euphorbiaceae. The record is from RNAcentral.